This 460-nucleotide ribosomal RNA is filed under the name uncultured bacterium. RNAcentral describes it as "partial 16S ribosomal RNA". It matches the Rfam family "Bacterial small subunit ribosomal RNA", at positions 338 to 795 of the family's 1533-position model. The record is from RNAcentral.
CCUACGGGAGGCAGCAGUGAGGAAUAUUGGUCAAUGGGCGCGAGCCUGAACCAGCCAAGCCGCGUGAAGGAUGACUGCCCUACGGGUUGUAAACUUCUUUUAUAAAGGAAUAAAGUGAGGCACGCGUGCCUUUUUGUAUGUACUUUAUGAAUAAGGAUCGGCUAACUCCGUGCCAGCAGCCGCGGUAAUACGGAGGAUCCGAGCGUUAUCCGGAUUUAUUGGGUUUAAAGGGAGCCUAGAUGGGUUGUUAAGUCAGUUGUGAAAGUUUGCGGCUCAACCGUAAAAUUGCAAUUGAUACUGGCAGCCUAGAGUACAGGAGAGGUAGGCGGAAUUCGUGGUGUAGCGGUGAAAUGCUUAGAUAUCACGAAGAACUCCGAUUGCGAAGGCAGCCUACUAGACUGCCACUGACAUUGAGGCUCGAAAGUGUGGGUAUCAAACAGGAUUAGAUACCCCUGUAGUC